This 370-nucleotide long non-coding RNA is filed under the name Triticum aestivum (bread wheat). Its description in RNAcentral is "long non-coding RNA (TAES_LNC014082)". Lineage: Eukaryota; Viridiplantae; Streptophyta; Magnoliopsida; Poales; Poaceae. The record is from RNAcentral.
GAGGAACACGAAUAGGGACUGCAGGAACGGCAUGAACUCCAGCCCUCUUCGACCAACCUCUGCACAAGCACAACCACACGCAUGUCUCAUGAUUCAGUAGUCAGCGCGUACACCAAACUGUUGACUGUGGAUUUCAGAAAUGUGUGUGUGCGUACCAUGAAGACGGCGAUCCGUGAAGCUGAUCGUGACGUUGACGCAGGGCACGGCGAUGGCGCCAUGCCGCGGUGCCGCCGCCGAGGACGACGAGGGAGAGGACCAGGACCCCCGCUCGCAGUCGGUGGUGGCGACCAGGAACAUACAAAGAGUACAAGAACAAACAAAGCUCAUGGUUACACUUAAUUCACAUUUUCUAACUCUCUUUUUACAUGUA